GCCAUGCCCCGCACAACUUUUCUUGGUACUCCUUACAUUGAGUUUUGUAUUAUGCAUGUUUCUGUGCUUGUCGUAUAUCAUAUAUGCAGCUAUUAGUACUUGGUACCUGAAGUAUUCCUUUAGGAUAUACUAGUUGUGCAGGGAACUAGGAUAUAUUAGAGUAGCUUAGGAACCCAAAGGAGGGCUUUUUGCUAUUAUCUAGUGUUCACCAGUUAAAUUACAACCACAUUAAAG
Non-coding RNA from Oryza sativa Japonica Group (Japanese rice), 234 nucleotides. NCBI's taxonomy places the organism in Eukaryota, Viridiplantae, Streptophyta, Magnoliopsida, Poales, Poaceae. The record is from RefSeq and is a predicted model, not a curated record.